This is an RNA transcript of Pyrus x bretschneideri (Chinese white pear), 1736 nucleotides long. It is a transcript of the gene named acyltransferase Pun1-like, with no coding region annotated. The transcript has 12 exons. Lineage: Eukaryota; Viridiplantae; Streptophyta; Magnoliopsida; Rosales; Rosaceae. The record is from RefSeq and is a predicted model, not a curated record.
CUCUCUCACAAUUCCCUGCUUCUGUCGCUCUUGAACCUCGAUUCCUUUCGCUCUCCAAGGCUACCUUCUCUCCCUCUUCCACCGUGCGAUCUUUGUCUCACAAAUUACCAACCGCACUUUCUUGCUAAAAAACCUUCACUGCUUUCUCUGUUGCUAGAGGUUGCUUUCUCUUCUGCUCCCGCAGGGCCUUCAGUUCUCACUUAGAUUCCAGAGUAGAAGUCCAGAAAGCUAAUAUGGCAAAGCGAGAGCUUUCCAGCACUCUCAGGAACUUAAAAGUUUAUGCAAAGAGCAACUUAGAAGGAGGUGAAGAAAGAAGAAGAUGUCAAACGAUACCUUAUCACCUCAGGUACCUUUUAGACCUAUUGCAUGUCAAAAUCAGCUUCAAAUUUGUGAUUUAAUAUAAUUGAAUUUUAACAAGUUUUUAGUGAUUUUGUAGAAUUUUACGUUUAAUAACCAAGUGGAUUACUUUACUUGGUUGGACCUGUUUUUAUAGCUAUAUUUCAACCUUUCCUUUGAUGGCUUUUAACGAUUGGAUUUCUCGAGUCUACUUUCCAUGCUUUGACCAUUUCAUUUGGCAGAGGGUUCUGGGUUUUGGAGAAUUCUUCAUUAAAUUGAAUUUUUUGUGAUUAAAUUUCUGGGUUAAGUAGCGGUUUUUGAGGUUGUGGUCUCCAAAAAAAGUUGAUGCAGGUUUCCUUUCUAUGAACCUGAUUUUGGAUGGGGAAAGCCACCAUGGGUGACUUCAGGUACGGAGUUCAAGAAUCUAAUUAUGUUAAUGGAUACACGAGAUGGAGAUGGCAUAGAAGUAUCCUUGAAUCUCAAGAAAGAAGACCUGGCCAUAUUUGAAAGCACUAAGGAGCUGCUUGAGGUGCUAAUGUGCCUCCACCAUUCAAUUCAUUUGAAUCUACUGGUCUCCCAUAUGAGAUUCAGAGGUUUUGAGCUUCCACAAAUUUCAAGGCGUUCAAACUUUACUCUCGAAUGAAAUGGAUCAAUUUGUUUGCAGCUUGAAGAUUUCUACUUUCACCAAGUUUAUCUCCAACUCCAGGCUUUGAAAUACAAUGUUGUUCUAGGCUAUCAUCUAGAUUCCCAAUCACAUGUUUCCACGGCGGUUUCAAAGAGGUCCUUGAGACGAUCAGAUGCUGUACUCAGCAGCCACCAUUAUAAUAAGGUAAGACUGAGCGUCAUUCUCUUGGUCACUAGAUGCCUUGAGAAUUUAUAGUCACUCACCCAACUUGGGAUUUGAGUAAUCAUGAAUAACUCGAUUUUGUGUUACUAUGUGAUGCGGUGGUGAGAGGACUUUGGUAUGGGAGGGAGGACUAGAGAGAGAUGUUUAGAUUUGAGAAGGGUAAUUGGUAUUGAAAAUUGAGAUGCCUGUAUACCAUGGCAGGGUCGGUUCCAGCUUUUUCUUUUCCUUGGUAAUUACUAUAAAUACAAAUGGAUGGUGCAUACAAAAUACUAUAACUUCAAGAAAAAACAAAACAGACCCAGAUACCAAUUCACUUCAGUCCCCAAACAUCUCGAUCCAUUCCAGCUUUUUCUCUUCCUUGCAUGGAGAGUUGUACAAGGCACUUUCUGCAAUUUAUUGCAAAAUAAUGUCAGUUAUCCCUUCUUUGGAUACAACUCAAACUGGGAGCAAGUCUGGUAUCCAAGCUUUACGUUCGUUGCAUGUAGCACAUGAAAAGUCUAAGAAUGUAGUAAGCUUUAUUUGGCGGAUUGCAGGUGCAUAAUCUUUUAUAUAA